Molecule: unclassified non-coding RNA, 216 nt
Filed under: plant metagenome
Description: partial contains small subunit ribosomal RNA, internal transcribed spacer 1, and 5.8S ribosomal RNA
Rfam family: Eukaryotic small subunit ribosomal RNA (bases 1-53)
Source: RNAcentral
GGAAGUAAAGUCGUAACAAGGUCUCCGUUGGUGAACCAGCGGAGGGAUCACUACCGAGUUUACAACUCCCAAACCCCUGUGAACAUACCAUUUGUUGCCUCGGCGGUGCCUGCUUCGGCAGCCCGCCAGAGGACCCAAACCCUUGAUUUUAUACAGUAUCUUCUGAGUAAAUGAUUAAAUAAAUCAAAACUUUCAACAACGGAUCUCUUGGUUCUG